GGUUGGCGGUCCACUUAGUAACUUUCUAGAAGGAUCAGAGGAUGAGUGAGUCCUCCAAGCUGCCCCAAGGUCCCACUGGACUUCUGUGGGGGGCACAGGGAGGGAACCCAGGGCGCCUCACUCAACAGAGAGUGAAGUGGGCUUCAGGCCGGGGGCAAGUUGUGGACCCGCGUGGUUCCUCUUUGCCUAAGCUCUGGUAUCAGUGCCACCUAUCUACUCCCUUCUUACAGGGAAUGUCACCCCCGUCACUCCAUGUGGCUCUGGGGAGGCUUCCGGGCACAGCUAACCUACCGUAGGGGCGAACAUGGGAACACAGGACAUGUUUUCCAAAAAGCACAUUAGGAAUUGGAAAUCCAGGCUGCAACUGGAAGUAGAAAGGCAUCUGAGUGUCACAGUGGACCACAAGAUAAAAUUCAGGAGAGGUGGACUCCUCAUGAAGACGAAUGAAAAUGCCUGGACCCUUGAAGGGGGAUCUAAAGGAACUGCCAAGAGGCCAAAGGCUCGGGACCAGGAGCGGAGAAACCAGAACCUCUGCCCAUCCUGGACCUACACAAUGCUGAGAGAAGAGAGGCAGCCAGCGAAGGGACCGCCGUCGGGAACCUGGUGAUGUGGCCUUGCCCUGUUCUCAUCCUCCCACCACACGUCCCCGGUCAAGCCCCCCGCCCCCAAGAGCCCUCAGCCCCGGGAAGACCACCCAGAAUGAGCUCCUCACAGGAGACCGUGCCUGCCUUGGCGCCCAGAGGACCCAGAGUUGCUGAGCUCCCGGCCCCAACCUGGCACGCUCGGGGCGGCUUUAAGAGGUUCACAACUCCCCGAGUGCAGUGUCCAUAAGGCGGCCUCCCGGCUCGGCGGAGGGCGCAGGGCUUGGAUGACAGCGUCGACUAGAUUUCAACCACCACCGUCCCCUUGGAAGGAUGCCAUUGGGCGGGACACAACCUGCACGACUGUACACGGCAGGGCUCAUGGAGGCACACAGGCCAAGGUCAGCUCUGGUGAGAACGUGGGAGUUGCGGGGACUUGGGGGGCAGGGAGAGGCCAGGGGCAUCUCGGGAAGGCCUUGGAGACACGCGGUCUGGUUCACCACAGUGGUCACAUGUGCCUGGCAAGGCUGCAGAUCGACAGACACCCCUGCACCCGGGGGUGGGGUCCACACCCUCAUACCCGUGGGGCCACCACAGCUCAGGAGCCUGUGGUCUUCACCUUGAGCUGGGACUGGACACCGUGUUGGAGACCAAAGACAGGAGAGAGCCCUGCCUUCUACUGAAAGGGGAAAUGUGCAACCGCCCAGAACAGGCGUGGGGACGAUCACGUUCCUCCCAAAGCCAACGACAGAGUCACCCUAGGAGCCAGCAACCCCACUCCUCGGCGUCCACCUGAAGGAACUGAAAACAAGUGUUCCAACAAAACCCUGCACACCCACACUCGUGGCACGUUACUCACAACUGCCAAAAGAUGGGAACCACCCAGCGUCCAUCAACGGAGGCACGGGUGACCCAGACGUAGCGUCCCUGCAAUGGAAUGCGAGUCCUCCGUAAAAACGAGGAACCUUGAGGACAUUAUGCUGAGUGAGAGACAAGAACAAAGUCACAAGAGGGUAAGUCCUGUGUGAUGCGGUUCCCAUGAGAUGUUCUUAACGGAAAUCCGUACAGCUAGGCAGAGGCUGGUCGUGCAGCGUGGCGAGUGCAUGAAAUGCCACCGACUUGUGUGCACUACAAAACGGCUAAUUUUAUGUUGCGCACCUCAAUUAAAAAAAUGAUCAAGAAAGCAAAUGAGCAACGA
This is an RNA transcript of Felis catus (domestic cat), 1779 nucleotides long. RefSeq lists it as uncharacterized. The transcript is spliced from 5 exons. Lineage: Eukaryota; Metazoa; Chordata; Mammalia; Carnivora; Felidae. The record is from RefSeq and is a predicted model, not a curated record.